GCCGCCGAAACUUCCGCCGCCGCGUCCGCCGCCUCCGGAACUAAACGGGGUGAGGUCACAUUCGGUUAUCUCUAACGUUGGAAAACGCCCCACUGUAACUGCCCUAAUCUGAGCUUUCACCACUUUUCUCGAAGAUUACUUCACCAGCUUCUGAAGUGGUUUUCUUGACUCAGCACUGUCAAUUAAGAUCUGUUCACUGCGGCAGGGUUGAUGUUCUUGAAACAGUACUGUCAUCACUUCAUCAACAUACUCGGACCUCUUGUGGAUGGAUUAAGUCUUCUCCAUAACCUUGCCCGACUCUGUCUGUCCAACCUCAUGCUCCCUGCGAUGGAGCUAACACCCAUUAUGGAGAUUAACCACUUUUCAUCAGGUUUUUAACUUAAGUCGUGAGGAAUACAACGGUGAACACAAGAUUCAUUUUAUUUUCAUCACCAUGGGACGUAUCCUGUUGUUGAGUUCUCUGGGUCAGACCUCUGAAGACUUCUCAGAUGGAUCCUAGUCUCUGGGCUUGCCCUGAAAUUACUCGCUGCUCAGGGAGAGAGUUGAAAUGGUUGGCAUCCUCCCACUCUGUUGCUCCGGCUGUGUCCCCUCGCUCUGUUGUUCCAGCUAUGUGCCCUCUGUUGCUCCAACUGCAGCUCAUUCUGUUAGAGUUCCUCAUUCAGCUGGUCACUGUGGCCAGAGGGUGUUGGCCUGCUCCCUUCCUCAAGUAUUCUUAAAGCCAUGGAUUUUUGUGGAGCAUUUUUCUUCCUGGCUCUCCCUUGAGUUAUUUUCCUUUCUUCGCUAUCUUGGGACUCUUCUUUGUGCUUGCGGUCAUCGGUUGAGAGAAGGACUUCUUCUUCCUUGUCUCCUUGGUGUUGGCUCGUGGUUGCUCUUCAACAACUGGACUGGAGGCUCUUGGUUUUCUCUUCAUCUUCAACAAGUCAGUCUCUCUCAAGGGUCUCACGUUGCAGCAUUCUUACCAGAGGCCAUUGGGCCUGGAGUUCCAGUUCCAGUGUCUGGAGAGUCCACCUCAGCUCAGCAAUCUCAUGCCGGUUGGCAAUUGUCAGCAGAAGCCGAUGCCUGCCCAUCAGUUCUUUACUCUGAGGUGUUAGAGUGGAAUAAAAAUAUAAAUACUUAUACUAGUUUUCAUGACUUCUGCUUAAUAUUGGGUAUUUUUUUGUUUUGUUUUGUUUUGGCGGUGAUAGGCUUACCUUACAUUAAACCAGGCCUUAGCCUUUCUGUGGCUUUGUUAUGGCAAAGCCUCAUAUUACUCUCUAGUCUGGUUCAGCAGGACAGUCAGGUCCACACCUGGGGCUGUUUGUUUUCUACGUUUACCUCAACAUAAGGUACCUUAUCAUUGUCAGCCUUCAUCUCCUGAUCCAAAAUAAAAUAAAAUGCCACAGGUUACUUGAUUUUGCAUCUGGAAUAUGAUUAUUUAAAGAAAUUAAAAAUUUAAAACUGAAAAUGUAGAGUUUAGAAAUCUUUUUUAAGGUUUCAAAAAAAUUUCUAGGAGACAACAAAAUAGUGUUACUAGAUUUAGCAAAUAAAAUACAGAAUGCCAAUUAAAUUUGAAUUUCAAAUGAACAUUGAAUACUUUUUUUGGUAUAACUAUAUUCCAUGCAAUAUUUGGGACAUAUCUGUUAUAUUAUUCAUUGUUUACCUGAAAUUAUAAUUUAAACUGAGAGUUCUGUAUUUUAUCUGGCAACCUUAUUAUGAAAAUAUUUAGGAUCAAUAUAAAGGAAUAAUAUUUUUAAUUUUUACAAACUAUUUUAAUAUAAGUAAUUUAUUUGAUUUUCAUUGUCAUCCUGAGAGUUAAGUUUUGCCUUACAGUCUAUGUUACUUUACCUGUGUUUUAUGAAAAGACUGUCUCUUAUAAUGAUAGCCACCACCACCAUAUCUUGACAAGUAUUGACAUACUGAAACUUUAAAUUCAUUUUGUGUAGUUCCCGCCUCUUCAUGAUUGUUUCUGAGGUAAUUCAGCUUCUCCGUCUGGCUUUCCAUUUUCAACUCUAGGUUAGUCUUGUUCAAAGUCAACUCAUCUAAGACACUUCGCAGGCCCUUGCUAUCAGCCUCAACACAGUGAUAAAGGACAACUUUACUCUGGCAUCUGAACAGAGCCCAAUUGGAAGAAUCAAUACAGCUUAGAUGGAGGUCUCCUCAUCCAGUGGUAAUAAAACAUCCCACAUAGUGGAGCUUAGAGAGCACAGCACUGGGAUGUGAAGACAUGGGUUCAAAUUGCACCUCUGCCAUGUUCAGCUGUCACCUUGGGCAAAUUACUUCUCUGAACCUUAGUUUUCUCAUCAUUAAAAUGGGAAUAU
This is a long non-coding RNA of Homo sapiens (human), 2297 nucleotides long. Ensembl annotates it as KRT10 antisense RNA 1. Its record names the gene KRT10-AS1. NCBI's taxonomy places the organism in Eukaryota, Metazoa, Chordata, Mammalia, Primates, Hominidae. The record is from Ensembl.